RNAcentral lists this ribosomal RNA (451 nucleotides) under uncultured bacterium. RNAcentral describes it as "partial 16S ribosomal RNA". It matches the Rfam family "Bacterial small subunit ribosomal RNA", at positions 28 to 507 of the family's 1533-position model. The record is from RNAcentral.
GAUGAACGCUGGCGGCGUGCCUAACACAUGCAAGUCGAGCGGCAGCGAGGGGUGCUUGCUCCCUGUCGGCGAGCGGCGGACGGCUGAGUAACGCGUGGGAACGUUCCCCAAAGUGAGGAAUAACUGCCCGAAAGGGUAGCUAAUACCGCAUAUUAUCUUCGGAUCAAAGGAUUUAUCAGCUUUGGGAGCGGCUCGCGUCGGAUUAGGUAGUUGGUGAGGUAAUGGCACACCAAGCCGACGAUCCGUAGCUGGUCUGUGAGGAUGACCAGCCAGACUGGAACUGAGACACGGUCCAGACUCCUACGGGAGGCAGCAGUGCGGAAUCUUCCACCAUGGGCGAAAGCCUGAUGGAGCUACGCCGCGCGCAGGACGAAGGCCUUCGGGUUGUAAACUGCUUUUAUAAGUGAGGAAUAUGACGGUAACUUAUGAAUAAGGAUCGGCUAACUACGUG